AGAGUUUGAUCCUGGCUCAGGAUGAACGCUAGCUACAGGCUUAACACAUGCAAGUCGAGGGGAAACGAUAUUGGAAGCUUGCUUCCGAUAGGCGUCGACCGGCGCACGGGUGAGUAACGCGUAUCCAACCUGCCCACCACUUGGGGAUAACCUUGCGAAAGUAAGACUAAUACCCAAUGACGUCUCUAGAAGACAUCUGAAAGAGAUUAAAGAUUUAUCGGUGAUGGAUGGGGAUGCGUCUGAUUAGCUUGUUGGCGGGGUAACGGCCACCAAGGCUACGAUCAGUAGGGGUUCUGAGAGGAAGGUCCCCCANAUUGGAACUGGAGACACGGUCCAAACUCCUAACGGGGAGGCA
RNAcentral lists this ribosomal RNA (355 nucleotides) under uncultured bacterium. RNAcentral's name for it is "bacterial SSU rRNA". It matches the Rfam family "Bacterial small subunit ribosomal RNA", at positions 8 to 350 of the family's 1533-position model. The record is from RNAcentral.